GUUUACGAGGACCGUCCCUCCAGGAAGACACCAACCGACGCCGCCUCCUGCUCCUCCCGCCUCGUCGCUGAGGGCCGUCCUGGAGAACAGUCCACGAUCCACCGCUUUCAUCGGACGCUGCCCGAUCACGCGUUAGGCUACUAUUCAGCGAGCGGGUUUAGCCUCUUCAGCACCCGGUAGCCUCACGCUACCCGCUGCCUUUGCAUAGCUAGGUUGACUCCGCAAGUCUUUUUUGUUGUUGUUUUCGUUAUCCCGGGUCCAUUUACAUUCCGCUGCUCGUCCUGCUCCGCAUCCAGAGAGAGGACACACAUCGAGAUUCAGACAACGUGCCCGCACGCCGUAAACGACGAGAGCCUGAAAUCAGCAGCGAGCAAGACUGAAAAGGACCGGAGGGGUUGAAACCAAUUCUGAUUUGGGAUUUCAGAAAUACAAGGUUUACUGGACUUCGGGCGAGAAAUCCAUCAACGACACACAAACAGUCAUUUGAUCAUGACAUAGAAAA
Molecule: long non-coding RNA, 502 nt
Organism: Anarrhichthys ocellatus (wolf-eel)
Lineage: Eukaryota; Metazoa; Chordata; Actinopteri; Perciformes; Anarhichadidae
Exons: 2
Source: RefSeq, a predicted model, not a curated record